RNAcentral lists this ribosomal RNA (253 nucleotides) under uncultured bacterium. Its description in RNAcentral is "partial 16S ribosomal RNA". It matches the Rfam family "Bacterial small subunit ribosomal RNA", at positions 524 to 776 of the family's 1533-position model. The record is from RNAcentral.
UACGUAGGUGACAAGCGUUGUCCGGAUUUACUGGGCGUAAAGAGCGCGCAGGCGGUCGUUCAAGUCGAGUGUGAAAGCCCCCGGCUCAACUGGGGAGGGUCACUCGAUACUGAUCGACUCGAAGGCAGGAGAGGGAAGUGGAAUUCCCGGUGUUGUGGUGAAAUGCGUAGAUAUCGGGAGGAACACCAGUGGCGAAGGCGACUUCCUGGCCUGUUCUUGACGCUGAGGCGCGAAAGCUAGGGGAGCAAACGGG